AUUGAACGCUGGCGGCAUGCUUUACACAUGCAAGUCGGACGGCAGCGGGGUAGUGCUUGCACUACUGCCGGCGAGUGGCGAACGGGUGAGUAAUAUAUUGGAACGUACCGAGUAAUGGGGGAUAACCAAUCGAAAGAUUGGCUAAUACCGCAUACGCUCUGAGGAGGAAAGCAGGGGACCUUCGGGCCUUGCGUUAUUCGAGCGGCCAAUAUCUGAUUAGCUAGUUGGUGGGGUAAGGGCCUACCAAGGCGACGAUCAGUAGCGGGUCUGAGAGGAUGAUCCGCCACACUGGGACUGAGACACGGCCCAGACUCCUACGGGAGGCAGCAGUGGGGAAUUUUGGACAAUGGGCGCAAGCCUGAUCCAGCCAUGCCGCGUGUCUGAAGAAGGCCUUCGGGUUGUAAAGGACUUUUGUUAGGGAAGAAAAAGGAGCGGUUAAUACCCGUUUCUGCUGACAGUACCUAAAGAAUAAGCACCGGCUAACUACGUG
RNAcentral lists this ribosomal RNA (490 nucleotides) under uncultured bacterium. RNAcentral's name for it is "partial 16S ribosomal RNA". It matches the Rfam family "Bacterial small subunit ribosomal RNA", at positions 30 to 507 of the family's 1533-position model. The record is from RNAcentral.